Raphanus sativus (radish) is the source of this 117-nucleotide small nuclear RNA. NCBI's taxonomy places the organism in Eukaryota, Viridiplantae, Streptophyta, Magnoliopsida, Brassicales, Brassicaceae. The record is from RefSeq and is a predicted model, not a curated record.
GUGUUAGUAGAAAGAAGAGAUGGUUGGCAUCUCCUCUGACAAAGAACGGGAUAGACCUCCGGGUUUUGGCACAUCUGGGUAAUGCUCCCACCUUCAGUAGAUGAGAAAAUGAUUUUU